UAUACCGUGAAACUGCGAAUGGCUCAUUAAAUCAGUUAUCGUUUAUUUGAUAAUACCUUACUACUUGGAUAACCGUGGUAAUUCUAGAGCUAAUACAUGCUGAAAAUCCCGACUUCGGAAGGGAUGUGCUUAUUAGAUAAAAAACCAAUGCCCUUCGGGGCUCUUUGGUGAUUCAUGAUAAUUUAACGGAUCGCAUAGCCUUGCGCUGGCGACGGUUCAUUCAAAUUUCUGCCCUAUCAACUUUCGAUGGUAAGGUAUUGGCUUACCAUGGUUUCAACGGGUAACGGGGAAUUAGGGUUCGAUUCCGGAGAGGCAGCCUGAGAAACGGCUACCACAUCCAAGGAAGGCAGCAGGCGCGCAAAUUACCCAAUCCCGACACGGGGAGGUAGUGACAAUAAAUACUGAUACAGGGCUCUUUUGGGUCUUGUAAUUGGAAUGAGUACAAUUUAAACCUCUUAACGAGGAACAAUUGGAGGGCAAGUCUGGUGCCAGCAGCCGCGGUAAUUCCAGCUCCAAUAGCGUAUAUUAAAGUUGUUGCAGUUAAAAAGCUCGUAGUUGAAACUUGGGCCUGGCUGGCGGGUCCGCCUCACCGCGUGCACUCGUCCGGCCGGGCCUUCCUUCUGAAGAACCUCAUGCCCUUCACUGGGCGUGCUGGGGAAUCAGGACUUUUACUUUGAAAAAAUUAGAGUGUUCAAAGCAGGCCUUUGCUCGAAUACGUUAGCAUGGAAUAAUAAAAUAGGGCGUGCGUUUCUAUUUUGUUGGUUUCUAGAGACGCCGCAAUGAUUAACAGGAACAGUCGGGGGCAUCAGUAUUCAGUUGUCAGAGGUGAAAUUCUUGGAUUUACUGAAGACUAACUACUGCGAAAGCAUUUGCCAAGGAUGUUUUCAUUAAUCAGUGAACGAAAGUUAGGGGAUCGAAGACGAUCAGAUACCGUCGUAGUCUUAACCGUAAACUAUGCCGACUAGGGAUCGGGCGAUGUUCUUUUUUGACUCGCUCGGCACCUUACGAGAAAUCAAAGU
This 1019-nucleotide ribosomal RNA is filed under the name Alternaria caricis. RNAcentral's name for it is "SSU rRNA". It matches the Rfam family "Eukaryotic small subunit ribosomal RNA", at positions 75 to 1104 of the family's 1831-position model. Lineage: Eukaryota; Fungi; Ascomycota; Dothideomycetes; Pleosporales; Pleosporaceae. The record is from RNAcentral.